This 215-nucleotide ribosomal RNA is filed under the name uncultured bacterium. RNAcentral describes it as "partial 16S ribosomal RNA". It matches the Rfam family "Bacterial small subunit ribosomal RNA", at positions 1286 to 1500 of the family's 1533-position model. The record is from RNAcentral.
UCCCAGUUCGGAUUGUAGUCUGCAACCCGACUACAUGAAGCUGGAAUCGCUAGUAAUCGCGGAUCAGAAUGCCGCGGUGAAUACGUUCCCGGGUCUUGUACACACCGCCCGUCACACCAUGGGAGUCGGAAAUGCCCGAAGUCUGUGACCCAACCUACGGGAGGGAGCAGCCGAAGGCAGGUCGGAUGACUGGGGUGAAGUCGUAACAAGGUACC